AUGAUGCUGGUGCUUGCACUGGUGGAUUAGUGGCGAACGGGUGAGUAACACGUGAGUAACCUGCCCCUGACUUCGGGAUAAGCCCGGGAAACUGGGUCUAAUACCGGAUAUGACUUCCUGCUGCAUGGCAGGGGGUGGAAAGAUUUAUCGGUUGGGGAUGGACUCGCGGCCUAUCAGCUUGUUGGUGAGGUAAUGGCUCACCAAGGCGACAACGGGUAGCCGGCCUGAGAGGGUCACCGGCCACACUGGGACUGAGACACGGGCCGGACUCCUACAUGAGGCAGCAUUGGGGAGUAUUGCACAAUGGGCGAAAGCCUGAUGCAGCGACGCCGCGUGAGGGAGGAAGGCCCUCGGGUUGUAAAAUUCUUUCAGUAGGGAAGAAGCCCCUUUUUGGGGUGACGGUACUUGCAGAAGAAGCGCCCGCUAACUACCUGCCAACAGCCGCGG
This 447-nucleotide ribosomal RNA is filed under the name Arthrobacter sp. RNAcentral describes it as "bacterial SSU rRNA". It matches the Rfam family "Bacterial small subunit ribosomal RNA", at positions 66 to 520 of the family's 1533-position model. Lineage: Bacteria; Bacillati; Actinomycetota; Actinomycetes; Micrococcales; Micrococcaceae. The record is from RNAcentral.